RNAcentral lists this ribosomal RNA (198 nucleotides) under Gammaproteobacteria bacterium. RNAcentral describes it as "partial 23S ribosomal RNA". It matches the Rfam family "Bacterial large subunit ribosomal RNA", at positions 2750 to 2925 of the family's 2925-position model. Lineage: Bacteria; Pseudomonadati; Pseudomonadota; Gammaproteobacteria. The record is from RNAcentral.
UAUGUGCGGACGGGAUAACCGCUGAAAGCAUCUAAGCGGGAAGCCCCCCCCAAGACUAGAUCUCCCUGGGAGCUCGACUCCCCUGAAGGGCCCACGAAGACUACGUGGUUGAUAGGCUGGGUGUGUAAGGCCGGUAACGGCUUCAGCUAACCAGUACUAAUUGCCCGUGAGGCUUGACCAUAUAACCUCAAGCAGUUU